Propithecus coquereli (Coquerel's sifaka) is the source of this 743-nucleotide RNA transcript. It is a transcript of the gene named high mobility group protein B1 pseudogene, with no coding region annotated. The record is from RefSeq and is a predicted model, not a curated record. The transcript has a single exon. Lineage: Eukaryota; Metazoa; Chordata; Mammalia; Primates; Indriidae.
CCUCGCUGAGGAAAAAUAACUAAACAUGGGCAAAGGAGAUCCUAAGAAGCCGAGAGGCAAAAUGUCAUCAUACGCAUUCUUUGUGCAAACUUGCUGGGAGCAGCACAAGAAGAAGCACCCAGAUGCUUCAGUCAACUUCUCAGAGUUUUCUAAGAAGUGCUCAGAGAGGUGAAGACCAUGUCUGCUAAAGAGAAAGGAAAAUUUGAAGAUAUGGCAAAGGCGGACAAGACCCGUUAUGAAAGAGAAAUGAAAACCUAUAUCCCUCCUAAAGGGGAAACAAAAAAGAAGUUCAAAGAUCCCAAUGCACCCAAGAGGCCUCCUUCGGCCUUUUUCUUGUUCUGUUCUGAGUAUCACCCUAAAAUCAAAGGAGAACAUCCUGGCCUAUCCAUUGGUGAUGUUGCAAAGAAACUGGGAGAGAUGUGGAAUAACACUGCUGCAGAUGACAAACAGCCUUAUGAAAAGAAGGCUGCAAAGCUGAAGGAAAAGUACGAAAAGGAUAUUGCUGCAUACUGAGCUAAAGGAAAGCUUGAUGCAGCAAAAAAGGGAGUCGUCAAGGCUGAAAAAAGCAAGAAAAAGAAGGAAGAGGAGGAAGAUGAAGAGGAGGAGGAAGAUGAAGAAGAUGAAGAUGAAAAAGAAGAUGAUGAUGAUGAAUAAGUUGGUUCUAGCGCAGUUUUUUUUUUCUUGUCUAUAAAGCAUUUAACCCCCCUGUACACAACUCACUCUUUUUAAAGAAAAAAAUUGAA